This 484-nucleotide ribosomal RNA is filed under the name uncultured bacterium. RNAcentral's name for it is "partial 16S ribosomal RNA". It matches the Rfam family "Bacterial small subunit ribosomal RNA", at positions 30 to 507 of the family's 1533-position model. The record is from RNAcentral.
AUUGAACGCUGGCGGAAUGCUUUACACAUGCAAGUCGAACGGCAGCACAGGGGCAACCCUGGUGGCGAGUGGCGAACGGGUGAGUAAUACAUCGGAACGUGCCCGGUCGUGGGGGAUAACGUAGCGAAAGUUACGCUAAUACCGCAUACGAUCUGAGGAUGAAAGCGGGGGACCUUCGGGCCUCGCGCGAUCGGAGCGGCCGAUGUCAGAUUAGGUAGUUGGUGGGGUAAAGGCCUACCAAGCCGACGAUCUGUAGCUGGUCUGAGAGGACGACCAGCCACACUGGGACUGAGACACGGCCCAGACUCCUACGGGAGGCAGCAGUGGGGAAUUUUGGACAAUGGGCGCAAGCCUGAUCCAGCCAUUCCGCGUGCAGGACGAAGGCCUUCGGGUUGUAAACUGCUUUUGUAUGGAACGAAAAGGCUCUGGCUAAUACCUGGGGCUCAUGACGGUACCGUAAGAAUAAGCACCGGCUAACUACGUG